GUUAUUCACUCUCCAGAUAUCUCUUCUAUAAGCAUUUAACUGAUGAGAUGUUGGAAAAUAUCAAUUUCAUGGACAAAGCUUAGCAUUUCUGGUUAACUCGUCUCCUACAAAUCUCACUUUCCAGUCAGCCAGAGGAAAGUAACACUUUGAAGGCACAGUUGCACUUUAAAGGCACCCAAUGGACAAGUGGAGAUACGGGAUGAGAUUCUUGUAGUAGACUCUUGAAAGGAGCUUGUGUUUACUUGAAACACAAAGAAACCCCACACGAGUGUACUGUGCUAUCCAAAAACUUGUUAUAAAACAAUAGAUCAAAAGACUUCAGAAGAGAGGCUUGGGGCUUAAGUGAAGUAAGAGAAGAUAUGGGCUAGGGAUCAAGAGAGUUCAUGGAGGUGUACAAAGCACUGCUGAUUGGUGAGGUGGCUUCUUCUGCUACAAGGGAAAAAGGGUUUGACAACGACAUUGCACCGAGAGCAAAAUGAGAAAUGCAUGAUUGGGGAUUCAAGAAUGUGUCUUGGCUAGCAACAGUUUUGGCCUUAAGUACUUCACCCUUGUCUAAGCAAACCAUAUAUACAGUUCUCCUGUCUUGUUUUUUUUCCCUCCCGUUCUCUCACCUGUAGAUGAGACACGCCCACUUCUCCAAAUGGGGUGGCUGCAAUCCCUCCUCUCUCCAUUGAAGAAGCUGUGGUUUCGUCUACACUCAACUCCAAAGAAUAGAAGAGGAAUAUACAUCCUGUACGAGGAUGUAAAAUCCUGCCAGUAUGAAGAUGUGCAUGUCCUAUGGUCAAUACUAGUGGAGUCAAAUACCCCUUCUUUGCCAUCAAAACAAUGAAGGCCUACACAAGUACAGAGUUCCCAAAGAACUAAGAGAUGUCCACUCAUGUACAUAAGAUAUUUAUCUUGUUCUAUAAUCUCUUGAAAGGAUUUUUGUUUUUGUAGUUUGCUUAUUGAAUUCCUUGUCAUCUGAGCUAUAUAUUAGAACAUAGCUUUUUCCGCAAAA
Populus trichocarpa (black cottonwood) is the source of this 997-nucleotide long non-coding RNA. RefSeq lists it as uncharacterized. NCBI's taxonomy places the organism in Eukaryota, Viridiplantae, Streptophyta, Magnoliopsida, Malpighiales, Salicaceae. The transcript is spliced from 2 exons. The record is from RefSeq and is a predicted model, not a curated record.